UACAGAGGGGGCAAGCGUUGUUCGGAAUUACUGGGCGUAAAGGGCGCGUAGGCGGCCUGCUAAGUCGAACGUGAAAUCCCCGGGCUCAACCCGGGAACUGCGUCCGAUACUGGCAGGCUUGAAUCCGGGAGAGGGAUGUGGAAUUCCAGGUGUAGCGGUGAAAUGCGUAGAUAUCUGGAGGAACACCGGUGGCGAAGGCGGCAUCCUGGACCGGUAUUGACGCUGAUGCGCGAAAGCCAAGGGAGCAAACGGG
This 253-nucleotide ribosomal RNA is filed under the name uncultured bacterium. RNAcentral's name for it is "partial 16S ribosomal RNA". It matches the Rfam family "Bacterial small subunit ribosomal RNA", at positions 524 to 776 of the family's 1533-position model. The record is from RNAcentral.